Molecule: long non-coding RNA, 2314 nt
Organism: Pseudopipra pipra
Lineage: Eukaryota; Metazoa; Chordata; Aves; Passeriformes; Pipridae
Exons: 2
Source: RefSeq, a predicted model, not a curated record
UGAGAGUGGGGAGGGGCUGGGAUAGAAUUCCCAGAGAAGCUGUGGCUGCCCCUGGAUCCCUGGAAGUGUCCAAGGCCAGGUUGGACGGGCUUGGAGCAACCUGGGCUGGUGGAAGGUGUCCCUGCCCAUGGCAGGGGGUGGCACUGGAUGGGCUUUAAGGUCCCUUCCAACCCAAACCAUUCCAUGAUUCCAUGGUUGAUAUAUCUGGGUUCAGUGGAGAUGUUUUCAGGUUCUGGUAGGAGUUGGAUGGUGUCCUGUCACCCAGGGAAGAAGGAAACCUGUGUUCUCCACCUGAACAUGUUUCCAGGGUUGAUGGAUGUCCUUCAGCUCUUAACUGCCUCUUCCAUGCUCCCAUCUCUGCAGCAGAGGGAUAAUAAUUCCCACCUUUUUGGCAAAUCCAGGUACUAGGUGGGAUACUGUUAGCAGGGACCACAUCUCGUGGCAAGGAUUAUAUAAAACUCUUCAUUUCCCAGCCACUUGGGAAAACAUUUAAUUCAGUUUCUUACCGAAUACAACAGCAAAAUUAUUCUUAAGAAGGCAUUAAAGCAGCUAAAAUUAUCCCCCUUUUUCUCAAUGUAUGGGAAAGCUUUACUUAGUAAACAAACUUUCCCUCCUGCUUUAAUUGGCUGUAAAAACAUGUGGUUGUUUUUUUUUUUCUGAUUUCCCUUCAACCUUUUUAUUGUGUCCUGCCUAAAGCUGCACUAAGGUUGUGGUCAGGACACUUGCUCAGUCCUGCCUUUAUGUUGUGUUCACAGGAGAGAUCUGUGAAACGUGGACUAGGGAACAACAAACAUUGCAUGCCUUUAGAAUUGUGAAUUUUGGUUAAAACUGAGGAGGUUUUAAAAGAAAAUAUUAAAUUUACAGUACUUUCUGUUGUCUUUUUAAAAAUGUGUUUUGAGGUGGGCUUAAAAUUCUCUGCUGUGAAAGUUGGGGAAGAAAAGCCACAUAAGUUUCAAGUGGCAAGAAAAAUGCCAUAUCAAGAGAGUCAGGAUGACACACAGGAUGGGAAUCCUGCAAUCUCCUCUUUGUGUGCUGCCCCAUUUAUAUUCCAACUAAAUGGGAACAGGGAAAAGAAGAGGGAAAUGUUGGGUGCAGGAAUUAACUGGGAUGAAAAAGUGAUGUUAUAUCAGGCACCACAGGCUGUGGAUCUGAGAGGCCACACUUCAAAUCCUGUGCUCAGUUUUGGGCCUCUCACUUCCAAAAGGACAUUUGAGGGGCUGGAGCGUGUCCAGGGAAGGGAACAGGGAUGGGGAAGAGGGUGGAAAACAUGUCCUGUGAGGAGCAGCUGAGGGAGCUGGGGGGGUUUAUCUGGAGAAGAGGAGGCUCAGGGGGGACCUCAUUGCUCUCCCCAACUCCCUGACAGGAGGGGGCAGGGAGGGGGGUCAGGCUCUGCUGCCAUGUCCAAGGGAAAGGAGGAGAGGGAAUGGCCUUAAAUUGCCCCAGGGCAGGGUCAGAUUAGGGAUUAGAAACAAUUUUUCCCUGCAGGAGUGGUCAGGCCUUGGAAUAAGUGUCCCAGGGAGGUGGUGGAGUCCCUGUGUCUGGGAGUGUCCCAGAGGUGUCUGGAUGUGGCCCUUGGGGACAUGGAUUGGGGGUGAUCCUGGUGGUGCUGGGUGAGGGUGGAACUGGACAAUCCUGGAGGUCUCUCCCAGUCUUGGUGAUUCUGGGAUUCUGUGACUGACACAGCAACUGCUGAAGUCUGCCUGGAGUAACCUGGUGACCUGAGCAGGAGAUGUUUGACCCAGUUUGGCUUUUUCCAAACAGCACAGUCUGACACCUUCAAACAACCAAACACGGGAAGGGGCCGUUCCCAUCCCACGAGCCCCUUAAAUCUCCUCACCCCCAACCUGUGCCGCUGCAAACCACAGGAUCCACAGGAACCCCUUAAGGAAAGCCAGUGUUUGGGGGGGUCCUGCCUGCACCCAGAUACUCCCAGGAGCUUCCCAGCUCCAGAGUUCCCAGGAUCCCUCCAUCCCACCCUGGAACGGGCCCGAGGCCACAGUUCCCCACACGCCUGAGCUGUGCCUGCCAUCUAUUGGUGUUACUUUGGAGUCCGGAUUCCCACUCCUGCUCCUCACACAGCAGUUUUUCUAGGGAAAUUCAAGUUUUCCUCCCGGCGGCGGCCGACGCUCCCGGAACUCUGGAAACGGGAUGGCAGAGCUCGGGUUUUCCCAGGAAUCCUGGUUUAGGAGACAGAACAAAGCUGGUGGAACCAUGGCCAGGUGGUAUUUUCAUCCAUAAACUUCUGACCAGCACUGAAGAAGGAAAAAAAUAAUUAUCUAAUGAAAAAUUUCAGCCCCAUUUCGGCUUGAAAAGC